Molecule: ribosomal RNA, 360 nt
Filed under: uncultured bacterium
Lineage: Bacteria
Description: bacterial SSU rRNA
Rfam family: Bacterial small subunit ribosomal RNA
Source: RNAcentral
AAUCAACGCUGGCGGCGUGCCUAACACAUGCAAGUCGAACGCGAAAGCCCCUUCGGGGGCAAGUAGAGUGGCGUCCGGGUGAGUAACACGUGGGUAAUCUACCUCCGGGUGGGGAAUAACUCGCCGAAAGGUGGGCUAAUACCGCAUAAUGCAGCGGCACCGAAUGGUGAUUAGUUGUUAAAGCGGGGGACCUUAGGGCCUCGCGUCUGGAGAGGAGCCUGCGGCAGAUUAGCUUGUUGGAGGGUAAUGGCCUACCAAGGCUGCGAUCUGUAGCUGGUCUGAGAGGACGGCCAGCCACACUGGCACUGACACACGGGCCAGACUCCUACGGGAGGCAGCAGUGGGGAAUUUUGGGCAAUA